CCGCCCCCUCCCCGGCGGCGCCGACCGGAAGCAGCGCGGCCGCAACCACUUCCGGCGCCUUCGGCAGAAGAAACUGAGAAGUCUGGAAAAACUCGCUCACCUGGAGGGCGGGGCCUAAUUUGCAUGCCCUGAGGACUCUGGUUGGCGGGCCGGCCCCGCCCCCGCUGAAAGGGCGUGGCCUUCUGCCUGGAGUACGCCGGCGGGGCCGCCGGAGGUUGGCAUGCGGGUUCGAAUCCCGAGAGAUCCAGGCUGAUGGGGCGGGCGUCUGGUGGGAGUGCCGGCGAAAGGAGGCCCGCACCCGGCAGCAAUGGCUCAGCUCUGGUGUUUUCCAGGAGCAGCCCCGGGAGAGCGUGGCCGCGAAGGUGCGCGUACUUACAGCUCUGUUCCUUGCAACAAGUUCUGUUGGAGAGGCACCGCCGGGCUGGGCGUAUAUUACUGUGGUAUUAGGUGACGGCUCCCCCAAAAUUCCUUCCAUGAAGAUCUGUCAAAACACAAAGCGUUUAUUGAAUAAAUUCGUGAACAAAGGAAUAA
Long non-coding RNA from Camelus dromedarius (Arabian camel), 531 nucleotides. RefSeq lists it as uncharacterized. The record is from RefSeq and is a predicted model, not a curated record. NCBI's taxonomy places the organism in Eukaryota, Metazoa, Chordata, Mammalia, Artiodactyla, Camelidae. The transcript has 2 exons.